Molecule: non-coding RNA, 73 nt
Organism: Danio rerio (zebrafish)
Lineage: Eukaryota; Metazoa; Chordata; Actinopteri; Cypriniformes; Danionidae
Source: Rfam
GCCUAGCUGGCUCAGUCGGUAGAGCAUGAGACUCUCAAUCUCAGGGUUGUGGGUUAGAGCCCCAUGUUGGGUG